Molecule: ribosomal RNA, 746 nt
Filed under: uncultured bacterium
Lineage: Bacteria
Description: bacterial SSU rRNA
Rfam family: Bacterial small subunit ribosomal RNA
Source: RNAcentral
AGAGUUUGAUCCUGGCUCAGAACGAACGCUGGCGGCAUGCCUCAUACAUGCAAGUCGAACGGCACCUUCGGGUGCAGUGGCGCACGGGUGAGUAGCGCGUGGGAACCUGCCCAGCAGUGGGGGAUAACCGAGGGAAACUUCGGCUAAUACCGCAUGCGCCCGGGUAACCGGGGAAAGAUUUAUCGCUGUUGGAGGGGCCCGCGUCGGAUUAGCUAGUUGGUGGGGUAACGGCCUACCAAGGCUAUGAUCCGUAGCUGGUCUGAGAGGAUGAUCAGCCACACUGGGACUGAGACACGGCCCAGACUCCUACGGGAGGCAGCAGUAGGGAAUAUUGGACAAUGGGCGAAAGCCUGAUCCAGCAAUGCCGCGUGAGUGAGGAAGGCCUUAGGGUUGUAAAGCUCUUUCGCACGCGACGAUGAUGACGGUAGCGUGAGAAGAAGCCCCGGCUAACUUCGUGCCAGCAGCCGCGGUAAUACGAAGGGGGCGAGCGUUGUUCGGAAUUACUGGGCGUAAAGGGCGCGUAGGCGGCCCGUUUUGUCAGGCGUGAAAGCCCUGGGCUCAACCUAGGAAUUGCGCUUGGGACGGAUGGGCUAGAGAUCGGGAGAGGAGAGUGGAAUUCCCAGUGUAGAGGUGAAAUUCGUAGAUAUUGGGAAGAACACCAGUGGCGAAGGCGGCUCUCUGGACCGAUACUGNNNNNNAGGCGCGAAAGCGUGGGGAGCAAACAGGAUUAGAUACCCUAGUAGUCC